UAUAAUGUAUGAGUUAUCUCUUUUCUGUCCAUUGACUAUAGGGCUGUUGACAAUCAGGUAUAUGUGGCCACAGCCUCUCCUGCACGGGACGAUAAAGCCUCCUAUGUGGCCUGGGGACACAGCACCAUUGUGAACCCUUGGGGGGAGGUUCUAGCCAAAGCUGGCACUGAAGAAAUGAUCCUGUAUUCAGACAUAGAUCUGAACAAGUUGGCUGAAGUACGCCAGCAAAUUCCCAUUCUUAGACAGAAGCGAUCAGAUCUCUAUGCAGUGGAGAUGAAAAAGCCCUAAGGUUUAUGUUUCCAGUGUGCCACAAAACAGGAAGAUAACACUCAAUUAGCUCCUUAUCAAAUUAUUUUUUUUGAGGAAGGGGUGGUACUGGGGAUUGAACCCAAGGCCUUGUACAUGUCAACUAUGUGUGCUAUACCACUGAUCUACACCUCCAACCCCCUAUUGAAUUCUUUAAUAGAUCCUUUUUUUUUUUAAUUUCAGACUUUUUCCCCAGAGAGCUCUUUAUUGAGAUGACAAGAGCCUUACCACACAGACAUUUUCCAUACCCUAUUAGUUGGAAAGGACGUGGGCCAAUGUCAGGCAGCAGGAGGGGCUGGCUCUGAAGCUUCUUUCAUAAUUUGCUUCACAGCAGAGAAUAGAAGUACAGAUUUUGGUAUCCUAGUGGUUGAAUCACUUAAUACAGUAGGUUUGUAUAAUGAAUAUCUUAUCCCACUUUCUGGAGUUGGAAUCCUUUAUCUGGAUAACUUGGUCUGGUAUUAUUUUCUAAGAAGUACCUUAUGGUUUUUGGAUCCCUGUAUAAUACUUUGAUCCCUGGAAAACAAGAAAUGGAUCCUUGGUGUUUGCCAGGGGAAGUAGCAAGCUCUUUUUUCCUAACAGCCAUUGGGCUCUUCAAAUUCAACAAGCAGCUAAAGGUUCAACUCCAGAUCUUUCUGGUCUUGUAGGAAAGAUUGGGUCAACAGUGAGUCCCAUGGAAGAAUGGUAGUGGUAGCUGCUGGGCACUCAUGGCUCACAUCCAUAAUCCUAGCUACUCUGGAGGCAGAGAUUAAGAGGAUUGCAGUUUGAAGCCAGCCUAGGAAAAUUGUUUGUGAGACCCUAUCUUUGAAAACCCCUAACACAAAAACAGGUGGAGUGGCUCAAGAUGUAGUCCCUGAGUUCAAACCCCAGUACUGGGAAAAAAAAAAAUGACACUGGUAGCAUUGGUAAAAGGAACUCAGUAUGACUGCAAGAUUUUUCUGACAGGGUUGAGUAUCU
Non-coding RNA from Castor canadensis (American beaver), 1260 nucleotides. The record is from RefSeq and is a predicted model, not a curated record. Lineage: Eukaryota; Metazoa; Chordata; Mammalia; Rodentia; Castoridae.